Molecule: transfer RNA, 65 nt
Filed under: Notospermus geniculatus
Lineage: Eukaryota; Metazoa; Nemertea; Pilidiophora; Heteronemertea; Lineidae
Description: tRNA-Pro
Rfam family: tRNA
About the family: Transfer RNA (tRNA) molecules are approximately 80 nucleotides in length. Their secondary structure includes four short double-helical elements and three loops (D, anti-codon, and T loops). Further hydrogen bonds mediate the characteristic L-shaped molecular structure. tRNAs have two regions of fundamental functional importance: the anti-codon, which is responsible for specific mRNA codon recognition, and the 3' end, to which the tRNAs corresponding amino acid is attached (by aminoacyl-tRNA synthetases). tRNAs cope with the degeneracy of the genetic code in two manners: having more than one tRNA (with a specific anti-codon) for a particular amino acid; and 'wobble' base-pairing, i.e. permitting non-standard base-pairing at the 3rd anti-codon position.
Source: RNAcentral
CAGGCAAUAGUUUACCAAAACAAUAGCCUUGGACGCUAUAGAGUGGGGGACUCCCCAUUGCCUGA